RNAcentral lists this transfer RNA (61 nucleotides) under Cavia porcellus (domestic guinea pig). It matches the Rfam family "tRNA", at positions 6 to 65 of the family's 71-position model. Rfam says of the family: Transfer RNA (tRNA) molecules are approximately 80 nucleotides in length. Their secondary structure includes four short double-helical elements and three loops (D, anti-codon, and T loops). Lineage: Eukaryota; Metazoa; Chordata; Mammalia; Rodentia; Caviidae. The record is from Rfam by way of RNAcentral.
UAUAGCUCAGUGGCACAGCACCUGCCUGGCAAGCACGAGGUCUUGAGUUCAAUUCCCGGUA